CAGUCGCCACGGUAAUACGAAGGGUGCAAGCGUUACUCGGAAUUACUGGGCGUAAAGCGUGCGUAGGUGGUGGUUUAAGUCCGUUGUGAAAGCCCUGGGCUCAACCUGGGAAUUGCAGUGGAUACUGGGUCACUAGAGUGUGGUAGAGGAUAGUGGAAUUUCCGGUGUAGCAGUGAAAUGCGUAGAGAUCGGAAGGAACAUCUGUGGCGAAGGCGACUAUCUGGGCCAACACUGACACUGAGGCACGAAAGCGUGGGGAGCAAACAGGAUUAGAUACCCCCGUAGUCCCUGUCUCUUAUAC
Molecule: ribosomal RNA, 301 nt
Filed under: uncultured bacterium
Lineage: Bacteria
Description: partial 16S ribosomal RNA
Rfam family: Bacterial small subunit ribosomal RNA
Source: RNAcentral